RNAcentral lists this long non-coding RNA (207 nucleotides) under Zostera marina. Its description in RNAcentral is "long non-coding RNA (ZMAR_LNC004200)". The record is from RNAcentral. Lineage: Eukaryota; Viridiplantae; Streptophyta; Magnoliopsida; Alismatales; Zosteraceae.
UGAAUAUUAUCGAUCUUCCGCGCGGUUGUGAAGUGGUGUGCUCCUCUUGUGGCGUCGUAGUUUCUUGCGUUGGUAGUUGAGUAGGCGGUGCGGCGGCUCUAGAAGAUGACGCUCCAGGAGUAUAAAUGUUCUGCGCUGCAUCGUUGUUGAAGAUUGGCGGAAACUCCGGUAAGCGCAAGUUCGGAUUUUGAGCGAGCAUUGCGNNNN